Molecule: ribosomal RNA, 235 nt
Filed under: uncultured bacterium
Lineage: Bacteria
Description: partial 16S ribosomal RNA
Rfam family: Bacterial small subunit ribosomal RNA
Source: RNAcentral
GAUCAUGGCUCAGGAUGAACGCUAGCUACAGGCUUAACACAUGCAAGUCGAGGGGCAGCAUGAACUUAGCUUGCUAAGUUUGUAUGGCGACCGGCGCACGGGUGAGUAACACGUAUCCAACCUGCCGAUGACUCGGGGGAUAGCCUUUCGAAAGAAAGAUUAAUACCCGAUGGCAUAGUUCUUCCGCAUGGUAGAACUAUUAAAGAACUUCGGUCAUCGAUGGGGAUGCGUUCCA